Molecule: ribosomal RNA, 494 nt
Filed under: uncultured bacterium
Lineage: Bacteria
Description: partial 16S ribosomal RNA
Rfam family: Bacterial small subunit ribosomal RNA
Source: RNAcentral
GACGAACGCUGGCGGCGUGCUUAACACAUGCAAGUCGAACGGUGAAGCGCCUUCCUUUUUGGUGGGUGUGGAGGAGUGGCGAAGGGGUGAGUAACACGUGAGUAACCUUCCCCCUUCUUCUGGAUAACCGCAUGAAAGUGUGGCUAAUACGGGAUAUUCUGGGUCUGUCGCAUGAUUGGUCAGGUACGGCUAUUGUUUCGGUUGUGGAUGGGUUCGCGGCCUAUCAGCUUGUUGGUGUGGUGAUGGCCUACCAAGGCGAGGAGGGGUAGCCGGCCUGAGAGGGUGGACGGCCACACGGGGACUGAGACACGGUCCAGACUGCUACGGGAGGCAGCAGUGGGGAAGAGGGCGCAAUGGGCGAAAGCGUGAUGCAGCGACGCCGCGGGAGGGAUGAAGGCCUGCGGGUUGUGAACCUCUUUGGGUAGUGAAGCACGCCUGCCUGGGUUGUGGGGGGGUUGACGGUAGCUGGUUAAGAAGCGCCGGCUAACUACGUG